UAUAAUAAUAUUAUUAUUAUAUUCGAAAUAUUAGUUACUACAUUUAAAUACUAUUAUUAAAUUUUAAAUACCAUCUUUAUAUUUUAAAUUUUAAAUUUUAAAUUUUAAUUUAUAUAUAUAUAUAUAUAUAUAUAGUAGGGUUACUAUAUUCUUAUGUGUAUUUGGCCCUUCGUACUCAUAAGUUGUUUUUGAUGAUGGGGCUUCCGAAUCGACAAUCCACUUCGUUAAACAUGAUCUAGAGUAUUUGAAACCUCNGCUUCCGAAUCGACAAUCCACUUCGUUAAACAUGAUCUAGAGUAUUUGAAACCUCUAGAAAAUAAAUUUCGUAAUUUUUCGAAAUCAUAAUAAAGCUUAUCAAACGGGCAUAAAAUAAACGGUCAAAAUUAAACGACGUCCUAAAAAUGUAUGAUCCGAUCCUUCAAUUUAAAUCGGAGUUAUUCAUCUUUAUCUUGGUCGUGAAUAGAAUUUUCUAUAAACAAUUCAAUCUAUUCCGAUUCUUUUACACCGUUAAACUAGCAAAUAUCGCAUACCGGCAGUUAAAAAUUAUCAAUUUUGUGAGCUUUGGAUCGUAAGGUAAAUGAUGUCGAAAAAUUAUGAAAAUUGAUUUCUAGAAGUUUUAAAUACUCUAGAUAAUGUUUAACGGUAUGGAUCGUCGAUUUGAAAGCUCUAUCAUUGAAAACAAUUUAUAAGUACAAGAGCGAUAGUACUCAUAAGAGUAUAAUAGCCGAACU
This 731-nucleotide long non-coding RNA is filed under the name Ananas comosus (pineapple). RNAcentral describes it as "long non-coding RNA (ACOM_LNC027269)". Lineage: Eukaryota; Viridiplantae; Streptophyta; Magnoliopsida; Poales; Bromeliaceae. The record is from RNAcentral.